AAAGUUCCAUAAAAAUCGAAUAAAAGAAUCAAACAUCCACCUCUGAAAAAGACACAAUUUCCUAUCAUUUUUAAGAACUUGUGUUUUCAAAAAAAAUUAUCCAACCCAUAGGAAAAUUGAAAUAUUUCUUCCAUACCCAACACCCCUGUAAUGAGCUUCAUUUUCAGUCCUUUUCUAUCGAACCCGAACGAAAGUUGAGAAUCUUCAUCAAUACUGCUGAUGGAGAACACAGUGCCGAUUUCCACUACUGCUCCAUCAAACUCUGGUACUGGCAAUCGCCGAUCACAGCCACGCUACUUGUACUGUAGCUGCUUCAGGCGCUGCUGUCGCUGUUUCUGCUGCUUCUAUUCCUACCCAUGAUUCAUUGUUCAGAUUCUCUUAACUGCUUGUAAAUAUACGGUGUCUUCUCAGUAUAUAAAAGUGUUGUACAGUUUUCGCUUUGUAUUAUACUUUUCACCCUUUUGUUGAAUAAAAAAUCAAUUGAUGAUGUAUACCUUUUGUUGGCUAAAGUGAAUUAGUUUAUGUGUAGUUGUAGAAUUAGGAAACAAUUGAUGAUUUCUCUGUGCUCUUCGUAUGUACUGGCUAGUUUAAUUGUUUUAUGGCAAGUUACUUAGUGUCAUGUGAAGGAAAAUUGAGAUGACAGAUAUAUAAUGAGUUAGUUGAAUUUGUUGCUAACCAGUAUUAUGAACAAGUAUGUGAACUUGGGCCUUUUUGGUGUGGCUUCCUUUGUGAAAUUCAUUUAUGGUGUUUGGUUGCUGAAAUUAUUGGAAAUAAUUUAAUAAAUAAGUGCGUGCAACAUUUUCUACUUCCUUCCUACGCCACCGAAAACUUGCUACUGUUGAGGCAAGUGAUUUUCUUAGCAAAGCAUUUUCCGCCUAAAAUAUGUGCUUUUGGAAUUUUCUUACUUUGUACCAAACAUGGUUUUGCUCCUUUACCUGAAAAAGAUGGAUGCUGUAUGGUCUCAUGUGCUUUUGGUUAAGAAAUCUCCAUACCCAAUAAAAUCAUGCAUCAAAAGAUUUCUCUAACUGCUGGAAUGUUUGGCUGUUUGUAAAAGUAAGUAUGCUAUUGCUAUAUACACAUAGUCAAUACAUUUGGUAUAGUAUAAGAUUCACCUGUCCUGAAUAAAUCCAAAAAUUGUUGAAUUAGACAAGUGAUUCCAUCGUUUCUGGCUCAAUAAGAGACAAAUUGUCCGGACAUAGUUUUUCAAAUGAGGAAUCAAGCCAUUACUUUGUAACUGCUUUAUAUAAGUGAAGAAUUUCUUGCCUGCAUUGGCGACAUGCAAGUGGAGAGCAUCAUUAAAUAGAAGAAAAAUUAAGUGUCCAAUAAUUAUGUGACGGUUCAGAGCAGUUAUGUGACUUCUGAAAAAAGUGUUGAUGUAAGUAGUGUGGAUACAAGCACACAUCAGAAGUUAUGUUGAAGAUAGAAGAUGGAUGACAUGCAUACAUGACCUAGAAGGCAUCUAUUAGCUGCUGAGCUGAAAUGGAACAGUAAGGCUUAUUCAAUCACGAUGGUUUGAGCCAAAGAUGUGAUUUACUGUCUAAUUAGAGCUACCAAUCUGAGAGAUUUCAGGACUUCAACUUGUCAAGCUGGGAAUUUUGGCAGGAGGGACUUUUAGCUUGAUCUCAAUCUUGGCAAGACGAACCCAAAUGAGUGAAAUUGUUAACUCUAGAUCAAAGAGCCUACUUCAUGCAUUUAUUAUGUGUCACUGCUUAAUCAUUCUCGGAAGGCUACGCAACUGUUGGAUAAUAGUUUGUGCAUGGAUUUUGAUACUUUAAACUUCUAUUAUUUUUCCCAGGUAUCUGUCAAAGAGUUUUCCAGAGGCAGUGUGUUGAUAAAUUGCAUACUUGUGAACUGGUGUAAGUCUACGAUUUGACUGAAUAAAUCAAUACAUGAUGUGACAGUUGCAGGAGAAGUGCAUAAAAGUCCAAGAGACAGCAAGGAUAUUGUCGAACUCUACUGGCAAGAUCUUUUUACAUGCAAUGCAUAAAUCAUACUGAUAUUCUUCUACGACGAGCUGAAAGUUUGUUCAAUUCAACCUCCUUGUUUG
Long non-coding RNA from Solanum tuberosum (potato), 2047 nucleotides. RefSeq lists it as uncharacterized. The record is from RefSeq and is a predicted model, not a curated record. The transcript is spliced from 3 exons. NCBI's taxonomy places the organism in Eukaryota, Viridiplantae, Streptophyta, Magnoliopsida, Solanales, Solanaceae.